Molecule: ribosomal RNA, 800 nt
Filed under: Microbacterium sp. pfB15
Lineage: Bacteria; Bacillati; Actinomycetota; Actinomycetes; Micrococcales; Microbacteriaceae
Description: bacterial SSU rRNA
Rfam family: Bacterial small subunit ribosomal RNA
Source: RNAcentral
AGAGUUUGAUCCUGGCUCAGGAUGAACGCUGGCGGCGUGCUUAACACAUGCAAGUCGAACGAUGAUGCCCAGCUUGCUGGGUGGAUUAGUGGCGAACGGGUGAGUAACACGUGAGCAACCUGCCCCUGACUCUGGGAUAAGCGCUGGAAACGGCGUCUAAUACUGGAUAUGUCCCAUCACCGCAUGGUGUGUGGGUGGAAAGAUUUUUCGGUUGGGGAUGGGCUCGCGGCCUAUCAGCUUGUUGGUGAGGUAAUGGCUCACCAAGGCGUCGACGGGUAGCCGGCCUGAGAGGGUGACCGGCCACACUGGGACUGAGACACGGCCCAGACUCCUACGGGAGGCAGCAGUGGGGAAUAUUGCACAAUGGGCGCAAGCCUGAUGCAGCAACGCCGCGUGAGGGAUGACGGCCUUCGGGUUGUAAACCUCUUUUAGCAGGGAAGAAGCGAGAGUGACGGUACCUGCAGAAAAAGCACCGGCUAACUACGUGCCAGCAGCCGCGGUAAUACGUAGGGUGCAAGCGUUAUCCGGAAUUAUUGGGCGUAAAGAGCUCGUAGGCGGUUUGUCGCGUCUGCUGUGAAAUUCCGAGGCUCAACCUCGGGCUUGCAGUGGGUACGGGCAGACUAGAGUGCGGUAGGGGAGAUUGGAAUUCCUGGUGUAGCGGUGGAAUGCGCAGAUAUCAGGAGGAACACCGAUGGCGAAGGCAGAUCUCUGGGCCGUAACUGACGCUGAGGAGCGAAAGGGUGGGGAGCAACAGGCUUAGAUACCCUGGUAGUCCACCCGUAAACGUGGGAACUAGUUGU